Molecule: transfer RNA, 72 nt
Filed under: Camelus bactrianus (Bactrian camel)
Lineage: Eukaryota; Metazoa; Chordata; Mammalia; Artiodactyla; Camelidae
Also listed under: 1 other name
Rfam family: tRNA
About the family: Transfer RNA (tRNA) molecules are approximately 80 nucleotides in length.
Source: Rfam by way of RNAcentral
GAGGGUAGAGCUCAGUGGCAGAGUGUGUGCUUAGCAUGCACAAGGUCCUGGGUUCAAUCCCCAAAACCUCCA